CUGUGUCACAACAGGUGACUGUAGUGUUUUUGGUGGUCAGAUUUCAAGUACACGUCAGCGCGACAGAAGCGUAUGAUUUUCGGAAAUAAAGCGUGAGAGAUCUCACGUCGCUUGUGGUCGUUUAAAUGGACCUAAUGGACAGUCCUCUGAACCGCGCCCAUCUGUGCGGCAGAAAGGCAAACCGGUUGGUAGCGCAAGAGAAUUACAAGGAGGCAAUUUUAUGCCAUGGAGAGGCAGCAGAUCUGCUGAAAGUUGCCUUAUUGAUGACACAAAAUGAGCAGGUAGGGCAUUUUACCAUGACACCUGUUAUAACAUUGUAGUAAUGGAGUAACCUUUUACAACAAAGGCUCCAACAUAAUGAGUGAAGACACUUCCAAGCAGGAGUGCUGCAUGACACCAUUAAACAGUUUACGCCCCACCAUGCUCUGUGGAAUAAAUCAAAAGUGCUGAACAGGCUCAACUGAU
Molecule: long non-coding RNA, 465 nt
Organism: Pygocentrus nattereri (red-bellied piranha)
Lineage: Eukaryota; Metazoa; Chordata; Actinopteri; Characiformes; Serrasalmidae
Source: Ensembl